AGUGAACGCUGGCGGUAGGCCUAACACAUGCAAGUCGAACGGCAGCACAGUAAGAGCUUGCUCUUACGGGUGGCGAGUGGCGGACGGGUGAGGAAUACAUCGGAAUCUACUUUGUCGUGGGGGAUAACGUAGGGAAACUUACGCUAAUACCGCAUACGACCUACGGGUGAAAGCAGGGGAUCUUCGGACCUUGCGCGAUUGAAUGAGCCGAUGUCGGAUUAGCUAGUUGGCAGGGUAAGGGCCCACCAAGGCGACGAUCCGUAGCUGGCCUGAGAGGAUGAUCAGCCACACUGGAACUGAGACACGGUCCAGACUCCUACGGGAGGCAGCAGUGGGGAAUAUUCGACAAUGGGCGCAAGCCUGAUCCAGCCAUACCGCGUGGGUGAAGAAGGCCUUCGGGUUGUAAAGCCCUGUUGUUGGGAAAGAAAAGCAGCAGGUUAAUACCCCGCUGUUCUGACGGUACCCAAAGAAUAAGCACCGGCUAACUACGUG
RNAcentral lists this ribosomal RNA (492 nucleotides) under uncultured bacterium. Its description in RNAcentral is "partial 16S ribosomal RNA". It matches the Rfam family "Bacterial small subunit ribosomal RNA", at positions 29 to 507 of the family's 1533-position model. The record is from RNAcentral.